RNAcentral lists this long non-coding RNA (907 nucleotides) under Mytilus galloprovincialis (Mediterranean mussel). Lineage: Eukaryota; Metazoa; Mollusca; Bivalvia; Mytilida; Mytilidae. The record is from RNAcentral.
UUUUUUUAUUGGUUUAGUCUUAGAAUUUGUAAUGGAUUCUACUCUUAAUAUUAAAGUUCACAGACCAGUCCUUCAACAAUGAGAAAAUGUUUAAAUAAAAAAAAUUGUGUAUAAAAAUGUUUUGAUUUGUGUACAUUAAUCUGAAUAAUAAUGACUUUCUUUUAUUUCCAAUUCUACCAAGGAGGACAGAAGAUUAGCAGCCUACAGUGAAAGACUUGAAGAAAUAUAGGCAAUGUAAGUACGAUUAAGUGAUUUUGCUGUUUGUGGUGUUUCCUCGAAGUAGCUGGUUACCUCCAAAUGGGACGACAGUCAUGGAUGUUGAGAUGGCCUACGUCGCAGAUUCGCGAGGACGGGCGGCUGGGAUGUUCGCUAGCGACCUACGACAGCUACAGGCUUUCUGCCUAUGCCUGUAGAAGGGGACUUUGAGAUGUCAUGCUGAAGUUUUCUGGAGAUUAUCUGGUUUCAUUUUUGGGAAGCAGUCCACAUGGAAAAAUGAUGCAGCCAAACUAAAGAUAUGCUCGAUUGGUUCUUUCCAAUGUCCCUGUUAUUAAGAAGCAGGAAAAAUUGAAGAAUAAGAGAUGGAAAAUGUCAAAUUUACUUGGUCUACAACAAAGAAACCCUUUUAUUUUAUUGCUGUUCUUCAUAUUCAAGUUCACAGACCAGUCCUUCAACAAUGAGAAAAUGUUUAAAUAAAAAAAAUUGUGUAUAAAAAUGUUUUGAUUUGUGUACAUUAAUCUGAAUAAUAAUGACUUUCUUUUAUUUCCAAUUCUACCAAAUGGAGGACAGAAGAUUAGCAGCCUACAGUGAAAGACUUGAAGAAAUAUAGGCAAUGUAAGUAGGAUUAAGUGAUUUUGCUGUUUGUGGCGUUUCCUCGAAGUAGCUGGUUACCUCCAAAUGGGACGACAGU